This 301-nucleotide ribosomal RNA is filed under the name uncultured bacterium. Its description in RNAcentral is "partial 16S ribosomal RNA". It matches the Rfam family "Bacterial small subunit ribosomal RNA", at positions 509 to 807 of the family's 1533-position model. The record is from RNAcentral.
CAGUCGCCGCGGGAAUACGUAGGUGGCAAGCGUUGUCCGGAAUUAUUGGGCGUAAAGGGCUCGCAGGCGGUUUCUUAAGCCUGAUGUGAAAGCCCCCGGCUCAACCGGGGAGGGUCAUUGGAAACUGGGAAACUUGAGUGCAGAAGAGGAGAGUGGAAUUCCACGUGUAGCGGUGAAAUGCGUAGAGAUGUGGAGGAACACCAGUGGCGAAGGCGACUCUCUGGUCUGUAACUGACGCUGAGGAGCGAAAGCGUGGGGAGCGAACAGGAUUAGAUACCCCGGUAGUCCCUGUCUCUUAUAC